Molecule: ribosomal RNA, 468 nt
Filed under: uncultured bacterium
Lineage: Bacteria
Description: partial 16S ribosomal RNA
Rfam family: Bacterial small subunit ribosomal RNA
Source: RNAcentral
GACGAACGCUGGCGGCGUGCUUAACACAUGCAAGUCGAACGGAAAGGCCCUGCUUUUGUGGGGUGCUCGAGUGGCGAACGGGUGAGUAACACGUGAGUAACCUGCCCUUGACUUUGGGAUAACUUCAGGAAACUGGGGCUAAUACCGGAUAGGAGCUCCUGCUGCAUGGUGGGGGUUGGAAAGUUUCGGCGGUUGGGGAUGGACUCGCGGCUUAUCAGCUUGUUGGUGGGGUAGUGGCUUACCAAGGCUUUGACGGGUAGCCGGCCUGAGAGGGUGACCGGCCACAUUGGGACUGAGAUACGGCCCAGACUCCUACGGGAGGAAGCAGUGGGGAAUAUUGCACAAUGGGCGGAAGACUGAUGCAGCAACGCCGCGUGCGGGAUGACGGCCUUCGGGUUGUAAACCGCUUUCGCCUGUGACGAAGCGUGAGUGACGGUAAUGGGUAAAGAAGCACCGGCUAACUACGUG